AACGCGAAGAACCUUACCUGGGCUUGAACCGCACAGGACCAGCUUGAGAAAUCAGGCCUUCCCGCAAGGGACCUGUGUAGAGGUGCUGCAUGGCUGUCGUCAGCUCGUGCCGUGAGGUGUUGGGUUAAGUCCCGCAACGAGCGCAACCCUUACUCAUAGUUGCUACCCGCAAGGGAGAACUCUAUGAGGACUGCUCCGGAUAACGGAGAGGAAGGUGGGGAUGAGGUCAAGUCAGCAUGGCCUUUAUGUCCAGGGCUACACACGUGUUACAAUGCGCGCCACAAAGCGUCGCGAACCCGCGAGGGGGAGCUAAUCGCAAAAAAGCGCGCUCAGUUCGGAUUGCAGUCUGCAACUCGACUGCAUGAAGCCGGAAUCGCUAGUAAUGGCGCAUCAGAACGGCGCCGUGAAUACGUUCCCGGGCCUUGUACACACCGCGUGUCU
RNAcentral lists this ribosomal RNA (441 nucleotides) under uncultured bacterium. RNAcentral's name for it is "bacterial SSU rRNA". It matches the Rfam family "Bacterial small subunit ribosomal RNA", at positions 958 to 1399 of the family's 1533-position model. The record is from RNAcentral.